GUGAGGAAUAUUGCGCAAUGGAGGCAACUCUGACGCAGCCAUGCCGCGUGCAGGAAGAAGGCGCUACGCGUUGUAAACUGCUUUUAACCGGGAAGAAACCCCAGGACGUGUCCUGGGUUGACGGUACCGGAGGAAUAAGCACCGGCUAACUUCGUGCCAGCAGCCGCGGUAAUACGAAGGGUGCAAGCGUUAUCCGGAUUCAUUGGGUUUAAAGGGUGCGUAGGCGGAGCGUUAAGUCAGUGGUGAAAUCCUGCAGCUUAACUGUAGACUUGCAAUUGAUACUGGCGCUCUUUGGUGCGCUUGAAGUGGGCGGAAUGUGCCGUGUAGCGGUGAAAUGCUUAGAUAUGGCACAGAACACCAAUUGCGAAGGCAGCUCACUAAGGCGAUACUGACGCUGAGGCACGAAAGCGUGGGGAUCGAACAGGAUUAGAAACCCGGGUAGUCC
RNAcentral lists this ribosomal RNA (445 nucleotides) under uncultured bacterium. RNAcentral describes it as "partial 16S ribosomal RNA". It matches the Rfam family "Bacterial small subunit ribosomal RNA", at positions 354 to 796 of the family's 1533-position model. The record is from RNAcentral.